GGUGGCGAGUGGCGAACGGGUGAGUAAUAUAUCGGAACGUAUCCAAUAAUGGGGGAUAACUAAUCGAAAGGUUGGCUAAUACCGCAUACGCCCUACGGGGGAAAGCUAGGGACCUUCGGGCCUGGCGUUAAUGGAGCGGCUGAUAUCUGAUUAGCUAGUAGGUGAGGUAAAGGCUCACCUAGGCGACGAUCAGUAGCUGGUCUGAGAGGACGACCAGCCACACUGGAACUGAGACACGGUCCAGACUCCUACGGGAGGCAGCAGUGGGGAAUUUUGGACAAUGGGCGAAAGCCUGAUCCAGCCAUUCCGCGUGAGUGAAGAAGGCCUUCGGGUUGUAAAGCUCUUUCGCAAGGGAAGAAAACUUAGGCGCUAAUAUCGCUUGAGGUUGACGGUACCUUGAUAAGAAGCACCGGCUAACUACGUGCCAGCAGCCGCGGUAAUACGUAGGGUGCGAGCGUUAAUCGGAAUUACUGGGCGUAAAGCGUGCGCAGGCGGGUUUUGUAAGUCAGAUGUUGAAAUCCCCGAGCUCAACUUGGGAACUGCGUUUGAAACUAUAAGACUAGAAUAUGGUCAGAGGGGGGGGUAGAAUUUUCCACGUGUAGCAGUGAAAUUGCGUAAGAGAUGUGGAAGGAAUACCAAUGGCGAAGGCAGCCCCCUGGGAUAAUAUUGACGCUCAUGCCACGAAAGCGUGGGGAGCCAAAC
Molecule: ribosomal RNA, 702 nt
Filed under: beta proteobacterium SCGC AAA041-O17
Lineage: Bacteria; Pseudomonadati; Pseudomonadota; Betaproteobacteria
Description: bacterial SSU rRNA
Rfam family: Bacterial small subunit ribosomal RNA
Source: RNAcentral